GGGGGGAAGGGAAGGGAUUGGGGGGGGCUGAAGUCCAGCAACCAUCCCAACCCCUGCCAUCGUUUCCUCAGUGUCACCAUGGAUGCCUAGUAAAGCACCAUCCAUAGUGAUUUCUGGAAAUUGGAGACUACCGCAGGCAGCAACCUUUCCAAUCUGGGAUAAAUAGUGAUUUUUACAACCAUGUUGAUCAUGAUAACCCUUUACCCAGAUGAUGUGGCAGGGGAACA
This 227-nucleotide long non-coding RNA is filed under the name Elaeis guineensis (African oil palm). Its description in RNAcentral is "long non-coding RNA (EGUI_LNC006102)". The record is from RNAcentral. Lineage: Eukaryota; Viridiplantae; Streptophyta; Magnoliopsida; Arecales; Arecaceae.